Python bivittatus (Burmese python) is the source of this 624-nucleotide non-coding RNA. The record is from RefSeq and is a predicted model, not a curated record. NCBI's taxonomy places the organism in Eukaryota, Metazoa, Chordata, Lepidosauria, Squamata, Pythonidae.
AGUGAAAGAAGUUGCAGCAUUCACCAGCAGCCAAGCAGACUGUCUUAGAAAGACAAUUUCCAGCACACUGAAAUUGAACUCCGCAUCCAGAUGGCAGAGAAGCCUAAAUUUUGUCCAUGCGACCUUGGAGAUAAGUUUGACUAUCAACCUCUUGGGUGUGAAGUGUCCAUCGAGCAUAUUAAUGCCUACGUGAUGAAGCCUCCUGUUCAGACCGACACAGCUGUGCUUGUGAUUCAUGACAUAUUUGGAUGGCAACUCCCAAAUAUCAGAUAUAUUGCUGAUUUGGUUGCUUCCAAUGGAUACAUGAGACCUUUGGCACAGCUUCCCACAUCAGGAAAUGUUCUCUUGCUAUGCGCUGUAGUGAAAUCCACAGAGUGUUUGCACUUACGUAGGAUAGUUAUGCAAUUUGUGGACAUGCCUCAGCAUUCAUCCAGAUCAACCACUCCGCAAAGCAUGUAUUUUAAAUUAAUGCCAAUAAAAUAGCUUCUGCUUGUAGCAUAUUGUGAAUGUAUCCUUUCUAUCCUGAUUGCACUACAUUUUUCCUAUUUAUCCAGUUUAACAACUCCAUUGUUUAAGACAUGUUAUUGUUUCUUUCUCCCAUAGAAUUUUUGUAAGGGUGAGGGA